CCUAAGUCAAACACUCUCGAGGAACAAUAAAGAUGUUAUGAGAGUGGUAGAAUAAUUACACACAUAUAAGAGCUCGAAAGAACUUAUCUAAAGAGUCCUCCAUAAAUGGUUUAUAUAGACAAAUGUUGAUGCUCAUUGUUGAGGAAUCUAGACAUACGAAUUAGCCAUUUCUCAUAACCAAUCACACAUCCUCAGAAUCAUGCAUGGACAAUUUGUCCGCGCCUCAUAUCUUGCAUAUCUCUCCC
This 245-nucleotide long non-coding RNA is filed under the name Elaeis guineensis (African oil palm). RNAcentral describes it as "long non-coding RNA (EGUI_LNC030079)". The record is from RNAcentral. Lineage: Eukaryota; Viridiplantae; Streptophyta; Magnoliopsida; Arecales; Arecaceae.